Molecule: long non-coding RNA, 956 nt
Filed under: Homo sapiens (human)
Lineage: Eukaryota; Metazoa; Chordata; Mammalia; Primates; Hominidae
Description: HSALNT0123727
Source: RNAcentral
CCCAGGUUCUGUAAUCUUUAGUAAAUGUAGUUAAAUAUUUUUUCUUUAGCAUCAUAAAAAGUAAGUGUCUUCUAAGUAUUCUUUUGUUCAAAACUUUCGGAGAAAUUCUGGGGAAUUAAUGCCAUCCUCUUUCCGCAUUUCCUUAAUUCUGUUACGCAUGGAGCAGAUGGAAGCAUCCAGAUGGGACCUAAAGAGCAUGUGUUCCCCUUCUUCACCAAUAUCUGAGGGCAUGACCCUAUCCCCAACAGAAAUCUUGGGUGUUCAUGCCUGCUCUUGUUGAUCUGUCACAAAGGGAACCUUCUUUUGAGACAGGCUGUCACUCUGUCAUGUAGGCUAGGUACAUUGGCAUGAUCAUGGCUCACUGCAGCCUCAGCAUCCUGGGCCUAAGUGAUUCUCCCAACUCAGUCUCCUAAGUAGCUGGGACCACAAAUGUGUGACAUCAUGUCAGCUAAUCUGUUUUAUUUUUGUAGAGGCAGGGUUUCCCUAUAUUGCACAGGCUGGUCUCAAACUCCUUGACUCAAGAGAUUCUCCCAUCUCAGCUUCUCAAAGUGCUGGGGUUACAGGUGUGAGCCAGCAUGGCUAGCCAAAUGGAACACUUUUAAUAUUGCAUGCAAUACAUUCAUAGUGAGGUUUGGUCAUGGUGUGUAUAAAGCCUGAAUGGAGAGAGUAGAGGGAAGGUUCUGGUAUAUAGAGGAGAGAAAUUUUGCAGAGCUCUUUGACCACCACAGGAAGAAAAGGGGAAAAUGUAGUUGAAAAAAAAAACACAUAGGCAGGAAUAUCACAAGUAGAGAAGCAACGGUUUUUGAAGUUCUAAACAUGUAACAUUCCAGGAGGAAAAGUGGACACAGCCUCUGAACUGGGACACAUUUACCCAAAACCCAGUCAUUUUAUUCUCUUUUUUACUUAUUCUCUGAGAUUCCUUGUCAGGCGAGAUCCUCUGGAAAAAAUAAAACUUG